AUUUCUCCAUCUUUCGUUUUAGGAACGUUGCCGCAGUCCAUGGAAGCGCUUUCAUCGCUGUUUCAACGCAUUUAUUAAAACAAAUCAAAGGAAGGCCUCAGGGGCUUCGUCGCUUAAGAGAGGCUGUGCGCUCUCCCUUAUGCCCUGCUGGCAACCAUAAGCGCUUACGCCGCGCAUAAGAACCAGCCCUCUUAAGAACAAGGCACAAAAGGGAAGAUGCGAGGCUGGUCGCUCUGACGUUCUUUUAUGCUUUCUACUUGCGGUUGCUUUCGCUAAUGCACUUGAAUAACUGACCUGCCAUAACGAUCGCGGCGCACAGUUUUUACAUUCCCUUUUGCAUAUUUAUUUAUUAUUAUUAUCUAUUUGCCUAACAUAAAAGCUGGAGAUAUGUACCCUUCCUUUCUUUCAAUUUGUAAGUUAAAUUUCAAUCUAAAGUGUAUUAUUAAGAGUUAAUCAUUUAUUAGUUUACUAGUGCGAUGCAUGUGCUAUUGCUCAAUAUGAAAUAUAGGAUUUAACAUGAA
Long non-coding RNA from Drosophila miranda, 521 nucleotides. RefSeq lists it as uncharacterized. The record is from RefSeq and is a predicted model, not a curated record. The transcript is spliced from 2 exons. NCBI's taxonomy places the organism in Eukaryota, Metazoa, Arthropoda, Insecta, Diptera, Drosophilidae.